This is a long non-coding RNA of Ruditapes philippinarum (Manila clam), 711 nucleotides long. RefSeq lists it as uncharacterized. The record is from RefSeq and is a predicted model, not a curated record. The transcript has 2 exons. NCBI's taxonomy places the organism in Eukaryota, Metazoa, Mollusca, Bivalvia, Venerida, Veneridae.
GUGAAAAUGACAAGGUUAUAAACUACAUGCAUUUCUAAUUGUAAAGCAGAACAGUGGGUUUUUAUAUGCCCUUAUAGGUAAUUGAAGUAAUUGAAAAAAAAUGAAUCUCGAAAAUCUUAGAAGCUGGUUUAACUAACAUGAAUGAGACGGAAUGAAAUGAGAUGUGUGAAAGAUACCUUGAUAACUUGAUAAUUGUUAUACAAAGUUAUUCUUCUGUGUAAAUUGAAAUUUCGAAAUAUAUAAAUCCAGUCAUUCUGUAAAUUAACGCAUAUUCACUGACUGUAAAAAUUUGUUAUCAGAUGACGUUUAUUUAUUUAAAUUUAUUGUAUUUCGCUACGCACACCUAUCCACGGCCUGAGUAUGCGUGUGUUAAAACGUUUAAGUGUAUUAUAUCAGUGAAAUAGAAAUUAUUCAUCCAUCCUUUAGGAGUAUUUAGUCAAGUAUUCACAGCUCGUGUUGAUAUGUAUAUUACGGCUAUCUUGUUGAAGGAAUUAAUUGAAUGAAGGCGUAAAUUAUAUUUGUAUAGGGAUGGGUCUUUGAUGCUUUACUUGGUAGCCAUAGCAACAAAAAGUAACCACAAAAAAGUUAGCAAUACUGGUGGUGUGGAACAUCUGUGGAGUUUAUAGGAGUUAGAAAAAUUAACUCAACGGACCCAGAAAUGAAAGAAAGGAAUGGAUUUAAAAUGAUGAUAUAAAGGAAUUUUAAUGAAGG